RNAcentral lists this small nuclear RNA (284 nucleotides) under Rattus norvegicus (Norway rat). RNAcentral's name for it is "7SK RNA". It matches the Rfam family "7SK RNA". From Rfam's summary of the family: 7SK was discovered as an abundant small nuclear RNA in the mid-70s but a possible function has only recently been suggested. Lineage: Eukaryota; Metazoa; Chordata; Mammalia; Rodentia; Muridae. The record is from Rfam by way of RNAcentral.
AGUCGUGAGGAUUGUCUGGCUAUGACGUCCGUCACCCCAUUGAUCACCGGGUUAGUUUGGCAGUUCUGGCUGGGUAGGCAGGUGUCUCCUUCUGGCCUCACUACUCCAUGUAUAUACUCCCCACAGAGCUGCACGUUCAUUUAAAGAAGCAGACCUCAAUAAUAGGGGGGUAUCAGUCUCCAGUCCACGUCACAUGAGUAACUGCCUCAUCCGCUAGAACCUCCAAACGAGCUGCGAUGAAGCCCUAAACUUUAGGUGAGUUUCCCAUGGAGAUUAGUUCCCCU